Long non-coding RNA from Cornus florida, 1821 nucleotides. RefSeq lists it as uncharacterized. NCBI's taxonomy places the organism in Eukaryota, Viridiplantae, Streptophyta, Magnoliopsida, Cornales, Cornaceae. The transcript has 4 exons. The record is from RefSeq and is a predicted model, not a curated record.
UAUAUAUAUGUAUAUAUCAUCACUUUGCAAAAUUUUCUAGAGAGACUUGACUGAUUCAAGGAUUCUAUGAUUGAAACCAAAUGUACAGGGCAUGUGAUGAAAUUGGUGUGCCUAUGCCCAGUAAAGCGUUGGUUAACACCGGCGACCACGUUCUCUUCCUCAUCUUCCUCCAAGUUGAUUUGAGCCUCAAUUUGCUCUUUUUCUGAUGAAUUCGAGCCACCCAACGGAGAUUCCUUUGUUGAAUCCUUCGAUUUUGAGGUUGGGUUUCGCCAUCGACAAUAGAUUCGUGGGAAGCGAGUAUUUGUAGAGAGAGAAAGAGAGACAUAGGAGAGAGAGGAGUUCUCGGAAGUGGCGAUGAUGGAGGUGGUUGUCGGAAAUGGCGAUGGUGGCGGUGGUCGUCGACAACGAGGGUCUGCGCUUUCGGUUUUUUUAUUUUUUUAUUUUUUUUUUUCUUUUUCUUUCUAUAUUGAUUUGGGUAUAUUGUUGAUGAUGUGUAUGAGAGAAGAGAGAGAUGGUUUGUGGCAGUGGCUAUGGUGGGAGGAGGUAGCAGUGGCAAUGACCAUGGUGAGGAGGUGGUAGGUGGAGGAGAUGGGUGAUACGGCUGAUGACUAGUUAGAAUUUUUUUUUUUUUUUUUGUUUUUUAAAAAAAAAUGCUAUAGUAUAAAAAGUAAUUUUCAUAAACAGUGUAGAAAAUAAAAAAAAGUGAGAAUUUGAUUUCUCACUUUCCCUUCUCUUUAUAAAUUUAGAAAAUACUUUCUUAAAACAAAAAAAUAAAAAUAUUUUAUUAAACUUACUUUUGAUUCUCAAUUUUAGAAAUUCAUAGUAAAAUCAUUCGUGUAGUAAACAGGCCUUACAGAACACAAACAUAUAUGUCAAAAGCUGGUCGCCCCUUUCUCGAUCUAGAUCACUAUUCGGAGGCAGCAACGCAGGAAGAAGCUCCACCGCCGCUUGCUGCCGAGGAGAAGCCGCCUGAGAAGAAAGAAGAUAAGAAAGCAGAGCAAGGAGAUGAAAAGAAAGCCGGCCACCCCCUUUCUCUCAGACCGUCCAAGCCGUCAUUCCUCUUUCUCUCCAAGCCUAACCCUUCUACCAAAGCCACUGAGGGUUGAAUCGACGGUUAGCGCAGCGUUGAGCAGAGAAGAUAGCGGCACAGCUGAUCGGCGUCAAGAUUGAACAAGGAUUCGCUCCUUUCUCCAAUCCCUAACCCUAGCUCCCUUUCUCAUUCGAAGCCCUAAAUUCGAAGGACACGAAUUGAGAUUUGUAUUUUCAUCCCCUGUUAUAUUCAUCAAAUUAAUACUCAAAUUGGUAUGGUAUGGGAUUCGCCCUAUACUUCUAACAAAGACAGUUGUUAAUUUGGUGGGUUAUAUAUAUAUAUAUAUAUAUUCGUUGCAAAGCUGCAGUGGCAUGGGAAGCUGGGAAGCCACUGGUGAUCGAAGAAGUGGAGGUUGCGCCCCCACAAAAAAUGGAAGUUCGUUUGAGGAUCCUCUUCACUUCCCUAUGUCACAUUGAUGUCGAUCUACUUCUGGGAAGCCAAGCUGUCCCGUAUCUGAAAACCCAAGCUUAGAUUCGCAGUGUAGUGUAUAAAUCAGUUUUUCCUGUAUUCGUCAGUACCAGGCUUAGAGCUUGAUCGUGAUGAAGCAGAUACAGUCACUCACUCUUCCAACUACGUAGGACUUCCUUUCAUGUUAUAGUUUGGAUGUUGGUUCUGUAAUUUAUGUUCAUUUGAAAUUAUUAGGGGUCCACUAGAUGAAUUCCCAAGUUGUACGGAUUGGAAAGAUUAAAAUUAUAUUAAUUUAUUAUUUUGGAGGAUGUUUAUAUUUAGAA